This 253-nucleotide ribosomal RNA is filed under the name uncultured bacterium. RNAcentral's name for it is "partial 16S ribosomal RNA". It matches the Rfam family "Bacterial small subunit ribosomal RNA", at positions 524 to 776 of the family's 1533-position model. The record is from RNAcentral.
UACAGAGGUCCCGAGCGUUGUUCGGAUUCAUUGGGCGUAAAGGGUGCGUAGGCGGCGGGGAAAAUCUGAUGUGAAAUCCUGGGGCUCAACCCUGGAACUGCAUUGGAUACUUCCUUGCUAGAGUACUGGAGAGGAAACUGGAAUUUACGGUGUAGCAGUGAAAUGCGUAGAGAUCGUAAGGAAGACCAGUGGCGAAGGCGAGUUUCUGGACAGUUACUGACGCUGAGACACGAAGGCCAGGGGAGCAAACGGG